This 229-nucleotide ribosomal RNA is filed under the name uncultured bacterium. RNAcentral's name for it is "partial 16S ribosomal RNA". It matches the Rfam family "Bacterial small subunit ribosomal RNA", at positions 103 to 334 of the family's 1533-position model. The record is from RNAcentral.
CGGGUGAGUAACACGUGAGUAAUCUGCCUUCAGCUCUGGGAUAGCUCCGGGAAACCGGGAUUAAUACCGGAUAUGACCACUUCGGACAUCUGUUGUGGUGGAAAGUUUUUCGGCUGGAGAUGAGCUCGCGGCCUAUCAGCUUGUUGGUGGGGUAAUGGCCUACCAAGGCGACGACGGGUAGCCGGCCUGAGAGGGCGACCGGCCACACUGGGACUGAGACACGGCCCAG